GUAAAUGUUUCAUGAUAAUGGGUUAGGUAAAUGUUUCAUGAUAAGAAUUUCAUGUCUUUUGUAUUAAAGAAUUAAAUGGAUGAAAUAUGAAGUUUUAUUAAAAGAAAAAGGGGUGAAAAGAACAAAGUUUUGUCCAUCUUUGUUCAUCAUAGCUGAAAGUUAGAGAAGAGAAAGGAGAGGGGAAAGCUCUUGAGUAUUUGGUCAUUAGGAGGAGGAAAAUUGACGGCGGUUCGUGUGUGGAUCUUGUCAGCAUAUCGUCGCAAACAGGUAAUCCCCAACCAUAGUGGGUUUGGAGCUGUGAGGGAAUUCGGAGUGGCCACC
This is a long non-coding RNA of Gossypium arboreum, 321 nucleotides long. RefSeq lists it as uncharacterized. Lineage: Eukaryota; Viridiplantae; Streptophyta; Magnoliopsida; Malvales; Malvaceae. The record is from RefSeq and is a predicted model, not a curated record. The transcript has 3 exons.